UACGUAGGGUGCAAGCGUUGUCCGGAAUUACUGGGCGUAAAGGGCUCGUAGGCGGCCAACUAAGUCGGACGUGAAAUCCCUCGGCUUAACCGGGGAACUGCGUCCGAUACUGGAUGGCUUGAGUUUGGGAGAGGGAUGCGGAAUUCCAGGUGUAGCGGUGAAAUGCGUAGAUAUCGGGAGGAACACCAAUUGCGAAGGCAGCUCGCUGGGACGUCACUGACGCUGAGACGCGAAAGCGUGGGGAGCAAACAGG
This 253-nucleotide ribosomal RNA is filed under the name uncultured bacterium. Its description in RNAcentral is "partial 16S ribosomal RNA". It matches the Rfam family "Bacterial small subunit ribosomal RNA", at positions 524 to 776 of the family's 1533-position model. The record is from RNAcentral.